CCCUGUUGAUCUGUGUGUGUCUUAUCACCAACCCAUGAAAGCUAGAAGUCACCCUGCUGCUCCAGAUCUACCUACUGAAUGGCUGGCUACAGACUACAACCAUCUGC
Molecule: long non-coding RNA, 107 nt
Organism: Sander lucioperca (pikeperch)
Lineage: Eukaryota; Metazoa; Chordata; Actinopteri; Perciformes; Percidae
Exons: 3
Source: RefSeq, a predicted model, not a curated record